This 441-nucleotide ribosomal RNA is filed under the name uncultured bacterium. RNAcentral's name for it is "bacterial SSU rRNA". It matches the Rfam family "Bacterial small subunit ribosomal RNA", at positions 8 to 453 of the family's 1533-position model. The record is from RNAcentral.
AGAGUUUGAUCCUGGCUCAGAUUGAACGCUGGCGGCAUGCCUUACACAUGCAAGUCGAACGGCAGCGGACCUUCGGGUGCCGGCGAGUGGCGAACGGGUGAGUAAAGCAUCGGAACGUACCCGGAAGUGGGGGAUAACUAUCCGAAAGGAUAGCUAAUACCGCAUAUUCUGUGCGCAGGAAAGCAGGGGACCGCAAGGCCUUGUGCUUCCGGAGCGGCCGAUGUCAGAUUAGCUAGUUGGUGAGGUAAAGGCUCACCAAGGCGACGAUCUGUAGCGGGUCUGAGAGGAUGAUCCGCCACACUGGAACUGAGACACGGUCCAGACUCCUACGGGAGGCAGCAGUGGGGAAUUUUGGACAAUGGGGGCAACCCUGAUCCAGCCAUGCCGCGUGAGUGAAGAAGGCCUUCGGGUUGUAAAGCUCUUUCGGCCGGGAAGAAAUCG